This 474-nucleotide ribosomal RNA is filed under the name uncultured bacterium. RNAcentral describes it as "bacterial SSU rRNA". It matches the Rfam family "Bacterial small subunit ribosomal RNA", at positions 335 to 800 of the family's 1533-position model. The record is from RNAcentral.
ACUCCUACGGGAGGCAGCAGUGGGGAAUAUUGGACAAUGGGGGAAACCCUGAUCCAGCCAUGCCGCGUGUGUGAAGAAGGCCUUCGGGUUGUAAAGCACUUUCAGUGGGGAGGAAAGGUUGAUGGUUAAUACCUAUCAGCUGUGACGUUACCCACAGAAGAAGCACCGGCUAACUCCGUGCCAGCAGCCGCGGUAAUACGGAGGAUUCGAGCGUUAUCCGGAAUCAUUGGGUUUAAAGGGUCCGUAGGCGGUCUUAUAAGUCAGUGGUGAAAUCUUCCAGCUCAACUGGGAAACUGCCAUUGAUACUGUAGGACUUGAAUAUUUGUGAAGUAACUAGAAUAUGUAGUGUAUCGGUGAAAUGCUUAGAUAUUACAUGGAAUACCAAUUGCGAAGGCAGGUUACUAACAGAUUAUUGACGCUGAUGGACGAAAGCGUGGGUAGCGAACAGGAUUAGAUACCCUGGUAGGAUAGCGU